GUCCACGCCGUAAACGAUGGACACUAGGUGUGGGAGGUGUCGACUCCUUCCGUGCCGAAGCUAACGCAUUAAGUGUCCCGCCUGGGGAGUACGGCCGCAAGGCUAAAACUCAAAGGAAUUGACGGGGGCCCGCACAAGCAGCGGAGCAUGUGGUUUAAUUCGACGCAACGCGAAGAACCUUACCUGGGCUUGACAUGUUCCUGACAGGUGUGGAAACACACUCUUCCUUCGGGACAGGAUCACAGGUGGUGCAUGGCUGUCGU
This 263-nucleotide ribosomal RNA is filed under the name uncultured bacterium. RNAcentral describes it as "partial 16S ribosomal RNA". It matches the Rfam family "Bacterial small subunit ribosomal RNA", at positions 793 to 1055 of the family's 1533-position model. The record is from RNAcentral.